UACGAAGGGGGCUAGCGUUGUUCGGAAUCACUGGGCGUAAAGCGCACGUAGGCGGAUUGUUAAGUCAGGGGUGAAAUCCUGGAGCUCAACUCCAGAACUGCCUUUGAUACUGAGGAUCUUGAGUUCGGGAGAGGUGAGUGGAACUGCGAGUGUAGAGGUGAAAUUCGUAGAUAUUCGCAAGAACACCAGUGGCGAAGGCGGCUCACUGGCCCGAUACUGACGCUGAGGCACGAAAGCGUGGGGAGCGAACAGG
RNAcentral lists this ribosomal RNA (253 nucleotides) under uncultured bacterium. RNAcentral's name for it is "partial 16S ribosomal RNA". It matches the Rfam family "Bacterial small subunit ribosomal RNA", at positions 524 to 776 of the family's 1533-position model. The record is from RNAcentral.